RNAcentral lists this ribosomal RNA (258 nucleotides) under uncultured bacterium. RNAcentral's name for it is "partial 16S ribosomal RNA". It matches the Rfam family "Bacterial small subunit ribosomal RNA", at positions 75 to 334 of the family's 1533-position model. The record is from RNAcentral.
CUUGCUUUCUUUGCUGGCGACCGGCGCACGGGUGAGUAACACGUAUCCAACCUGCCCUUUACUCGGGGAUAGCCUUUCGAAAGAAAGAUUAAUACCCGAUAGUAUAAUGAUUCCGCAUGGUUUCAUUAUUAAAGGAUUCCGGUAAAGGAUGGGGAUGCGUUCCAUUAGGUUGUUGGUGAGGUAACGGCUCACCAAGCCUUCGAUGGAUAGGGGUUCUGAGGGGAAGGUCCCCCACAUUGGAACUGAGACACGGUCCAA